Molecule: long non-coding RNA, 228 nt
Filed under: Theobroma cacao (cacao)
Lineage: Eukaryota; Viridiplantae; Streptophyta; Magnoliopsida; Malvales; Malvaceae
Description: long non-coding RNA (TCAC_LNC006085)
Source: RNAcentral
AAAAAUAAAAAGAAAUCUUAAAGAAAUAACAAAGAAGAUAUAGGUAGGCACAUCCCAUAUCACUAUUGCAUUGUUAAAUGUCAUAGCAUAUAGAUGUAUUUUAUACACGAGUAUAAGUCCCGAUGAUAGGACUUUCUGAAGAAUCUUGCGAAGGUGAGUUUUCUUCAAAAAAUUUCCUAGGUGAAAAGAUACUCCUGGGUCCCACUAGUACGAUGGGAGGGUUCGGAG